Molecule: ribosomal RNA, 396 nt
Filed under: uncultured bacterium
Lineage: Bacteria
Description: partial 16S ribosomal RNA
Rfam family: Bacterial small subunit ribosomal RNA
Source: RNAcentral
AUACGUAGGGAGCGAGCGUUGUCCGGAAUUACUGGGUGUAAAGGGAGCGUAGGCGGGAGUGCAAGUCAGAUGUGAAAUACAUGGGCUCAACCCAUGGGCUGCAUUUGAAACUGCAUUUCUUGAGUGAAGUAGAGGUAAGCGGAAUUCCUGGUGUAGCGGUGAAAUGCGUAGAUAUCAGGAGGAACACCGGUGGCGAAGGCGGCUUACUGGGCUUUUACUGACGCUGAGGCUCGAAAGCGUGGGGAGCAAACAGGAUUAGAUACCCUGGUAGUCCACGCUGUAAACGAUGAUUACUAGGUGUGGGGGGACUGACCCCUUCCGUGCCGCAGUUAACACAAUAAGUAAUCCACCUGGGGAGUACGGCCGCAAGGUUGAAACUUAAAGGAAUUGGCGGGG